GAUGAAGAACGUAGCGAAAUGCGAUACUUGGUGUGAAUUGCAGAAUCCCGCGAAUCAUCGAGUUUUUGAACGCAAGUUGCGCCCGAAGCCAUUCGGCCGAGGGCACGUCUGCCUGGGUGUCACGCAUCGUUGCCCCCCCACACUCCGGUUCGGGCGGGGCGGAAGUUGGCCUCCCGUGCGUGCCUGCGCGCGCGGUUAGCCCAAAAGCGAGUCCUCGGCGACGAGCGCCACGACAAUCGGUGGUUUUUUUACCCUCGUUCCUCGUCGUGCGUGUCCCGUCGCCCGAACGCGCUCUUGCGACCCUCACGCGUCGCCUCGGCGGCGCUCCCAACGCGACCCCAGGUCAGGCGGGACUACCCGCUGAGUUUAAGCAUAUCAAUAAGCGGAGGA
Molecule: unclassified non-coding RNA, 390 nt
Filed under: soil metagenome
Description: partial contains 5.8S ribosomal RNA, internal transcribed spacer 2, and large subunit ribosomal RNA
Rfam family: 5.8S ribosomal RNA (bases 1-122)
Source: RNAcentral